RNAcentral lists this long non-coding RNA (309 nucleotides) under Elaeis guineensis (African oil palm). Its description in RNAcentral is "long non-coding RNA (EGUI_LNC008711)". Lineage: Eukaryota; Viridiplantae; Streptophyta; Magnoliopsida; Arecales; Arecaceae. The record is from RNAcentral.
CGACGGGGGAAGAGGGGACCGGUGGCAGCUGGGGAGAGAUGGGCCGAGAGCUCAGGGAGGUGGUCAGGGCUCGGGGAGGUAGGAGGUGGCCAAGGGGCUCAGUGUCCGAUGGAAUGGGGCUCGGGGAAGCGAGAUCCGAUGGUCAGUGGCUCAGGGAGGCGGCUGGUGGCUCGAGGCAGUGGGAUCCAAUGAUGGGGGAAAGAGGGGGAUCGGAGGCAUGGAAAGAGGGGGUUGGUCGCCGAAGGGGGAGCCAAUCCAGAAACCGAGAGGGGGGUGGGAAAAAAUGAGGGCGCGUGGGGAGCUGAGAGG